This 1554-nucleotide ribosomal RNA is filed under the name Salmonella enterica subsp. enterica serovar Oranienburg. Its description in RNAcentral is "bacterial SSU rRNA". It matches the Rfam family "Bacterial small subunit ribosomal RNA". Lineage: Bacteria; Pseudomonadati; Pseudomonadota; Gammaproteobacteria; Enterobacterales; Enterobacteriaceae. The record is from RNAcentral.
AAAUUGAAGAGUUUGAUCAUGGCUCAGAUUGAACGCUGGCGGCAGGCCUAACACAUGCAAGUCGAACGGUAACAGGAAGCAGCUUGCUGCUUCGCUGACGAGUGGCGGACGGGUGAGUAAUGUCUGGGAAACUGCCUGAUGGAGGGGGAUAACUACUGGAAACGGUGGCUAAUACCGCAUAACGUCGCAAGACCAAAGAGGGGGACCUUCGGGCCUCUUGCCAUCAGAUGUGCCCAGAUGGGAUUAGCUUGUUGGUGAGGUAACGGCUCACCAAGGCGACGAUCCCUAGCUGGUCUGAGAGGAUGACCAGCCACACUGGAACUGAGACACGGUCCAGACUCCUACGGGAGGCAGCAGUGGGGAAUAUUGCACAAUGGGCGCAAGCCUGAUGCAGCCAUGCCGCGUGUAUGAAGAAGGCCUUCGGGUUGUAAAGUACUUUCAGCGGGGAGGAAGGUGUUGCGGUUAAUAACCGCAGCAAUUGACGUUACCCGCAGAAGAAGCACCGGCUAACUCCGUGCCAGCAGCCGCGGUAAUACGGAGGGUGCAAGCGUUAAUCGGAAUUACUGGGCGUAAAGCGCACGCAGGCGGUCUGUCAAGUCGGAUGUGAAAUCCCCGGGCUCAACCUGGGAACUGCAUUCGAAACUGGCAGGCUUGAGUCUUGUAGAGGGGGGUAGAAUUCCAGGUGUAGCGGUGAAAUGCGUAGAGAUCUGGAGGAAUACCGGUGGCGAAGGCGGCCCCCUGGACAAAGACUGACGCUCAGGUGCGAAAGCGUGGGGAGCAAACAGGAUUAGAUACCCUGGUAGUCCACGCCGUAAACGAUGUCUACUUGGAGGUUGUGCCCUUGAGGCGUGGCUUCCGGAGCUAACGCGUUAAGUAGACCGCCUGGGGAGUACGGCCGCAAGGUUAAAACUCAAAUGAAUUGACGGGGGCCCGCACAAGCGGUGGAGCAUGUGGUUUAAUUCGAUGCAACGCGAAGAACCUUACCUGGUCUUGACAUCCACGGAACUUUCCAGAGAUGGAUUGGUGCCUUCGGGAACCGUGAGACAGGUGCUGCAUGGCUGUCGUCAGCUCGUGUUGUGAAAUGUUGGGUUAAGUCCCGCAACGAGCGCAACCCUUAUCCUUUGUUGCCAGCGAUUCGGUCGGGAACUCAAAGGAGACUGCCAGUGAUAAACUGGAGGAAGGUGGGGAUGACGUCAAGUCAUCAUGGCCCUUACGACCAGGGCUACACACGUGCUACAAUGGCGCAUACAAAGAGAAGCGACCUCGCGAGAGCAAGCGGACCUCAUAAAGUGCGUCGUAGUCCGGAUUGGAGUCUGCAACUCGACUCCAUGAAGUCGGAAUCGCUAGUAAUCGUGGAUCAGAAUGCCACGGUGAAUACGUUCCCGGGCCUUGUACACACCGCCCGUCACACCAUGGGAGUGGGUUGCAAAAGAAGUAGGUAGCUUAACCUUCGGGAGGGCGCUUACCACUUUGUGAUUCAUGACUGGGGUGAAGUCGUAACAAGGUAACCGUAGGGGAACCUGCGGUUGGAUCACCUCCUUACCUUAAAGAAGC